CCUACGGGAGGCAGCAGUGGGGAAUAUUGGACAAUGGGGGAAACCCUGAUCCAGCAAUGCCGCGUGAGUGAUGAAGGCCUUAGGGUUGUAAAGCUCUUUCGGCGGGGACGAUGAUGACGGUACCCGCAGAAGAAGCCCCGGCUAACUUCGUGCCAGCAGCCGCGGUAAUACGAAGGGGGCAAGCGUUGUUCGGAAUUACUGGGCGUAAAGGGCGCGCAGGCGGCCGACGUAGUCAGGCGUGAAAGCCCCGGGCUUAACCUGGGAAUUGCGUUUGAUACUCGUUGGCUGGAGUUCGGGAGAGGAUGGUGGAAUUCCCAGUGUAGAGGUGAAAUUCGUAGAUAUUGGGAAGAACACCGGUGGCGAAGGCGGCCAUCUGGACCGAAACUGACGCUGAGGCGCGAAAGCGUGGGGAGCAAACAGGAUUAGAUACCCUGGUAGUCCACGCCGUAAACGAUGUGUGCUAGACGUUGGCGGGCCUAGCCUGCCAGUGUCGCAGCUAACGCGUUAAGCACACCGCCUGGGGAGUACGGCCGCAAGGUUAAAACUCAAAGGAAUUGACGG
Molecule: ribosomal RNA, 561 nt
Filed under: uncultured bacterium
Lineage: Bacteria
Description: bacterial SSU rRNA
Rfam family: Bacterial small subunit ribosomal RNA
Source: RNAcentral